This 295-nucleotide long non-coding RNA is filed under the name Mustela putorius furo (domestic ferret). RNAcentral describes it as "lncRNA (ENSMPUG00000030283.1)". Lineage: Eukaryota; Metazoa; Chordata; Mammalia; Carnivora; Mustelidae. The record is from RNAcentral.
UGUUAAGUGACGAAAGUGAAGGUAGAGAAUUUUAUACCAUCUUUUCUGUAAGAAGGGUGGUGAAAGGCCACAAGCAGCUACUGGACCAGACAACACAGGUCUGGAGUUCUAAUUCCAGUUCUUGCAACCUGAGCAAACUCUUUAACUUCCCUGAAUCUCAGUUUCUCCAAAUGUGAAACAGGGAAAAUAACGUUCCCCUACCCCCCCGUCUGACAUGGCUAAAAGAGGUCUUCUAUGUGAAAAGGUGAAGAUCCCUGGAUUGUGAAAGGCAGAGCUUCGUAUCUGGCAGAAGCUC